This 162-nucleotide ribosomal RNA is filed under the name uncultured Vexilliferidae. RNAcentral's name for it is "partial 18S ribosomal RNA". It matches the Rfam family "Eukaryotic small subunit ribosomal RNA", at positions 1487 to 1650 of the family's 1831-position model. Lineage: Eukaryota; Discosea; Flabellinia; Dactylopodida; Vexilliferidae. The record is from RNAcentral.
CCGCACGCGCGAUACACUGACACGAGCAGCGAGCUUCUUCCUGUUCCGAAAGGAUCGGGGAAUCUUGUAAAUCGUGUCGUGUCGGGGAUCGACUAUUGUAAUUAUUAGUCGUGAACAAGGAAUUCCUAGUAAGCGCAAGUCACUAGCUUGCGCUGAUUACGU